Molecule: unclassified non-coding RNA, 349 nt
Filed under: soil metagenome
Description: partial contains 5.8S ribosomal RNA, internal transcribed spacer 2, and large subunit ribosomal RNA
Rfam family: 5.8S ribosomal RNA (bases 1-120)
Source: RNAcentral
GAUGAAGAACGCAGCGAAAUGCGAUACGUAAUGUGAAUUGCAGAAUUCAGUGAAUCAUCGAGUCUUUGAACGCACAUUGCGCCCCCUGGUAUUCCGGGGGGCAUGCCUGUCCGAGCGUCAUUGCUGCCCUCAAGCACGGCUUGUGUGUUGGGCCUCCGCCCCCCGGCUCCCGGGGGGCGGGCCCGAAAGGCAGCGGCGGCACCGCGUCCGGUCCUCGAGCGUAUGGGGCUUCGUCACCCGCUCCGUAGGCCCGGCCGGCGCCCGCCGGCGACCCCCCUCAAUCAUUCCAGGUUGACCUCGGAUCAGGUAGGGAUACCCGCUGAACUUAAGCAUAUCAAUAAGCGGAGGA